This is a long non-coding RNA of Uranotaenia lowii, 418 nucleotides long. RefSeq lists it as uncharacterized. Lineage: Eukaryota; Metazoa; Arthropoda; Insecta; Diptera; Culicidae. The transcript is spliced from 3 exons. The record is from RefSeq and is a predicted model, not a curated record.
UCGCUGCUGCACAUCUACUCAGAACAAAUUCUGAUCUUUUUCCGGGUUUUUCCGUGUUCUGCGGUUCUAUUCUUGGACAAUAUUGACCCAACCGAUGAUGCUGUGCGAUGCGCCUCAUAGUAGCCGAGACAACCGAGCUGCAAUUUCAGCAGCUUUCGGUGCUGAAUCUCAGGUGAUGCCAAAAUUUGUUUUGCGGUGCGAUGGUUGGAACUGGAAGAGAAUUUCUUCGAAUUCUGGGAAUCAACUGCGAUGUUCUACAGAUGUUCUAGCUAGCAAACAUCUGAUACCGUCACACGGUGCUACGUUGGCAUAGGGACUUUGGUGUUGUUACUUGGAUGAUCAGGCCAAGUUGAUCGUGCUGCCAAGAACUAGAAGGUAGCUGUCGGUGAUUUCGGUACUCAGGAUGGAUGAAAUAAAA